This 1226-nucleotide ribosomal RNA is filed under the name uncultured bacterium. RNAcentral's name for it is "bacterial SSU rRNA". It matches the Rfam family "Bacterial small subunit ribosomal RNA", at positions 246 to 1482 of the family's 1533-position model. The record is from RNAcentral.
UAGUUGGUAAGGUAACGGCUUACCAAGGCAACGAUGUUUAGGGGGUCUGAGAGGAUAGUCCCCCACACUGGUACUGAGACACGGACCAGACUCCUACGGGAGGCAGCAGUGAGGAAUAUUGGUCAAUGGGCGCAAGCCUGAACCAGCCAUGUCGCGUGUAGGAUGACUGCCCUAUGGGUUGUAAACUACUUUUUUACAGGAAUAAACUUUUCCACGAGUGGGAAACUGAAGGUACUGUAGGAAUAAGGAUCGGCUAACUCCGUGCCAGCAGCCGCGGUAAUACGGAGGAUUCGAGCGUUAUCCGGAUUUAUUGGGUUUAAAGGGUCCGUAGGCGGGCUUGUAAGUCAGUGGUGAAAUCUCACAGCUCAACUGUGAAACUGCCAUUGAUACUGCAGGUCUUGAAUUUAGUUGAGGUGGGCGGAAUACGAUAUGUAGCGGUGAAAUGCAUAGAUAUAUCGUAGAACACCGAUUGCGAAGGCAGCUCACUAAGCUAAUAUUGACGCUGAUGGACGAAAGCGUGGGGAGCGAACAGGAUUAGAUACCCUGGUAGUCCACGCCGUAAACGAUGAUCACUCGUUGUGCGCGAUACACAGUGCGCGACUGAGCGAAAGCAUUAAGUGAUCCACCUGGGGAGUACGUUGGCAACAAUGAAACUCAAAGGAAUUGACGGGGGCCCGCACAAGCGGAGGAACAUGUGGUUUAAUUCGAUGAUACGCGAGGAACCUUACCUGGGCUUAAAUGCAUUUUGAUCGGCUUGGAAACGAGCUUUCUCUUCGGAGCAAAUUACAAGGUGCUGCAUGGUUGUCGUCAGCUCGUGCCGUGAGGUGUCGGGUUAAGUCCCAUAACGAGCGCAACCCCUAUCGUUAGUUGCUAGCAGGUAAUGCUGAGGACUCUAGCGAGACUGCCACCGUAAGGUGAGAGGAAGGUGGGGAUGACGUCAAAUCAGCACGGCCCUUACGUCCAGGGCUACACACGUGUUACAAUGGCUAGUACAAAGGGCAGCUACCUGGUGACAGGAUGCUAAUCUCAAAAGCUAGUCUCAGUUCGGAUCGGAGUCUGCAACUCGACUCUGUGAAGUUGGAUUCGCUAGUAAUCGUAUAUCAGCAAUGAUACGGUGAAUACGUUCCCGGGCCUUGUACACACCGCCCGUCAAGCCAUGGAAGCCGAGGGGACCUGAAGUUCGUAACCGCAAGGAGCGACCUAGGGUAAAAUUGGUAACUGGGGCU